AUGGUGAAAAGUCCACGUUCUCCAGUUACAACAGGAACAAAAAGGUGCAGAGCAAAGCCACAAAAGAAGGGUGAAGAAUCCACCGCACAAGGAAAAUUGGUGGAUGGGCCUCAGGAUGCAACAAAUGGUGUUGAAAAGUGUGCUGGUUCUGCUACUCACAAGAGGCCAAGGAGGGCAGCAGCCUGUUCUGAUUUUAAGGAGAAAUCUGUACGUUUAUCAGAAAAAACUUCUGUUGUCAAGAUCAAGAAAAAUCGGAUGGAAGAGGAAGAAAUAGAUGCAAUCAACCUGACAAAAUUAGGGCCAGAAGAUUCACCGCCUUGCCGGAAGUUGAUUGAUUUCAUCUUGCAUGAUGCAGAUGGGAAUCUGCAGCCAUUUGAAAUGUCUGAAAUAGAUGAUUUUUUCAUAACAGCUCUUAUCAUGCCUAUGGAUGAUGAUCUAGAAAAAGAGCGUGAAAGAGGUGUAUGCUGUGAAGGAUUUGGGCGUAUUGAGGACUGGGCAAUAUCUGGUUAUGAUGAAGGUACUGCAGUGGUCUGGCUCUCAACAGAACUUGCUGAUUAUGAAUGUGUGAAACCAGCAAGCAACUACAAGUCUUACUUCAACCACUUUUAUGAGAAGGCACAGGUAUGUGUUGAAGUCUACAGAAAGCUCAUGAGAUCAGUAGGUGGGAAUCCUAACAUGAGUCUGGAAGAAUUGCUUGCUAGUGUUGUUCGCUCUGUUAAUGCCAUCCAAGGUUACACUGGAACAAUGAGCAAAGAAUUCAUGAUUGCCACUGGCGAGUUUGUAUACAACCAGCUUAUUGGUUUGGAUCAGACGGCAGGCAAUGAUGAUGAGAAGCUUGUUACAUUGCCAGUUCUUCUUGCUCUAAGAGAUGAGUGCAAAUCUCGAGCAGAAUUUACCAAGAUGCCACUUAGCAUUUCAAAUGGGAGCCUGAAGAUCAAGGAUAUUGAGCGUAAAGAGGUAGCUGAGGACGAUGAUGAGAAAUUAGCAAGAUUAUUGCAUGAAGAAGAAGAAUGGAAGAUGAUGAAGAAACAGAGGGGUAACCGUGGAGUCCCUUCCCAGAAAAAUGUCUACAUCAAAAUUAGUGAAGCUGAGAUUGCAAAUGACUACCCUCUGCCUGCAUACUAUAAACCAUCUAGCCAGGAAAUGGAUGAAUACAUAUUUGAUAGUGAGGAUGGCAUGUUCUCUGGUGAUGUGCCAGUAAGAAUCCUCAACAACUGGGCUCUAUACAAUGCAGAUUCUAGGCUUAUUUCUCUGGAAUUAAUCCCUAUGAAGUCAGGCGCAGAAAAUGAUAUAGUUGUCUUUGGAUCUGGUUUUAUGAGAGAGGAUGAUGGCAGUUGCUGUUCCACAGCUGAGUCUGCAAAGUUGUCUUCUUCAUCAAGUAAAGCUGAUAACCAGGAUGUAGGAGUUCCAAUAUAUUUGAGCCCAAUCAAGGAAUGGGUUAUAGAAUUUGGUGGCUUGAUGGUUUGCAUAACCAUUCGAACUGAUGUGGCUUGGUACAAGCUACGGCAGCCAAUAAAGCAAUAUGCUCCUUGGUGUGAACCUGUACUGAAAACAGCAAGGCUUGCUGUUAGCAUCAUCACCCUGCUAAAAGAGCAAAGCCGUGCUUCAAAGCUUUCUUUUGUUGAUGUCAUCAAGAAAGUGGCAGAGUUUGACAAAGAGAAUCCUGCUUUUAUAUCGUCCAAUAUUGUACUGGUUGAGAGGUACAUUGUGGUACAUGGACAGAUCAUACUUCAGCAGUUUGCAGAUUUCCCUGAUGAGACAAUUCGACGUUGUGCUUUUGCCACUGGCCUGUUGAUGAAGAUGGAGCAGAGAAGGCAUACAAAGUUGUUCAUGAAGAAAAAGGCUCAAGUAACAAGAGGAGAGAAUCUGAACCCAAUUGCAACAAUGGGAACAUCAUCAAAAAGAAAAGCAAUGCGUGCAACCACAACAAGAUUGAUCAACAGAAUAUGGAGUGAUUACUAUGCACACCAUUUCCCUGAAGAUUUGAAGGAGGGAGAUGGAAAUGAAGCAAAAGAAGUUGAUGAUGAACAAGAAGAAAAUGAAGAUGAGGAUGCUGAGGAAGAGGUACAGAUUGAGGAAGACAAGGUUGCAAAGACUCCACCAUCAACACGGUCUCGAAAAUUGGUAUCACAAACUAGCAAAGAAAUGAGAUGGAAGGGUGAGCCAGCUGGGAAAACAACUUCUGGAGAAGCUUUAUACAAAUGUGCGUAUGCACGGGAACUCAGAAUAGAUGUUGGAGGGGCAGUCACACUGGAAGAUGAUUCAGGAGAAAUAGUCAUAUGCUUUGUUGAGUACAUGUUUCAGAAAUCUGAUGGUGCAAAAAUGGUUCAUGGAAGAAUUCUGCAAAAAGGCUCAGAAACUGUUCUUGGCAAUGCUGCAAAUGAAAGGGACAUUUUCUUAACUAAUGACUGUUUGGAGUUUGAACUAAAGGACAUCAAAGAAUUGGUGUCUGUCAAUCUCCAAUCAAUGCCUUGGGGUCACAAGUAUAGAAAAGAGAAUUCUGAAGCUGAGAAGAUUGAGCGGGCCAAAGUGGGAGAGAGGAAAAAGAAGGGUCUGCCCAUGGAAUAUUUAUGUAGAAGCCUGUACUGGCCUGAGAAGGGUGCCUUCUUCUCUCUACCUUGUGAUAAACUGGGUCUUGGUAAUGGUGUCUGUGGCUCUUGUGAGCACAGAGAACCGGACUGUGAUGAAUUAAGAAUACUUACCAAGACCAGCUUCAUUUACAGAAAGGUAACCUAUAGUGUCCAUGACUUCUUAUACAUUAGGCCUGAGUUUUUCUCCCAAGAGGAGGAUCGUGGCACCUACAAGGCAGGAAGAAACAUUGGCCUGAAGCCCUAUGCAGUUUGCCAUCUUCUGGAUGUCUGUGGACCUGCUGGUUCUAAAAAAGUUGACCCUGCAUCAACCAAAGUCAGUGUUCGAAGAUUUUAUAGACCAGAUGACAUUUCAUCUGCUAAAGCUUAUACAUCUGAUAUCAGAGAGGUAUACUAUAGUGAAGAUAUAAUUAAUGUGCCGGUGGAUAUGAUAGAGGGAAAAUGUGAGGUCAGAAAGAAGAUAGAUAUCUCAAAUUCAGACCUUCCUGUAAUGAUUGAACAUGUAUUCUUCUGUGAGCAUUUCUAUGAUCGUGCCACUGGAGCUCUCAAGCAGUUGCCUUCAAAUGUAAAGCUCAUGUCUGUGGCUCGCAAGGCAACUGGUGCUUUGAAAAAGAACAAGGGAAAGCAGAUCUGUGAAAAUAAUGAAGUUGAUUCAGGCAAAUGGAUGGAAGUGCCCAAAGAGAGCCGUAUUGCAACUCUUGACAUUUUUGCUGGCUGUGGAGGUUUAUCAGAAGGGUUGCAGCAAGCUGGUGUGUCAUUUACAAAAUGGGCCAUUGAAUAUGAGGAACCAGCUGGUGAAGCAUUUAGGCAAAAUCAUCCGGAAGCUGCUGUGUUUGUGGAUAACUGCAAUGUGAUUUUAAAGGCAAUCAUGGACAAAUGUGGGGAUUCUGAUGACUGUGUCUCAACUUCUGAAGCUGCUGAACAAGCAGCUAAACUUGCUGAAGAGAAUAUUAAAAACCUUCCUGUCCCUGGUGAAGUAGAAUUCAUAAAUGGUGGUCCUCCCUGUCAGGGCUUUUCUGGCAUGAACAGAUUCAACCAAAGCCCAUGGAGUAAAGUUCAGUGUGAGAUGAUUUUAGCAUUCCUCUCUUUUGCGGAGUAUUUUCGUCCCAGAUUCUUUCUUUUAGAAAAUGUCAGGAAUUUUGUUUCCUUCAACAAAGGACAGACCUUCCGACUGGCAGUUGCAUCUCUUCUGGAAAUGGGAUACCAGGUUCGUUUUGGAAUCUUAGAAGCAGGUACUUUUGGUGUUGCUCAGUCCAGGAAAAGGGCAUUCAUUUGGGCUGCUGCUCCUGGAGAGAUUCUUCCUGAUUGGCCAGAACCGAUGCACGUGUUUGCUAGCCCUGAACUGAAAAUAACACUGCCUGAUGGCAAAUACUAUGCAGCUGCCAAAAGCACUGCUGGUGGGGCGCCUUUCCGUGCAAUAACUGUUAGAGAUACAAUUGGGGAUUUGCCGAAAGUGGAAAAUGGUGCAAGUAAACUCAUACUUGAGUAUGGAGGUGAGCCUACCUCUUGGUUUCAGAAGAAGAUCAGAGGUAGCACUAUUGCAUUGAACGAUCACAUAUCUAAGGAGAUGAAUGAAUUAAAUCUCAUAAGAUGCAAACACAUUCCCAAACGACCUGGUUGUGACUGGCAUGACCUGCCAGAUGAGAAGGUGAAGCUAUCUUCUGGGCAAAUGGUGGACCUGAUACCUUGGUGCUUGCCUAACACCGCUAAAAGGCACAAUCAGUGGAAGGGUCUGUAUGGGAGGUUAGAUUGGGAGGGCAAUUUCCCCACUUCUGUGACUGAUCCUCAGCCGAUGGGCAAGGUUGGCAUGUGCUUCCAUCCUGACCAGGACAGGAUUAUCACGGUCCGUGAAUGUGCGCGAUCUCAGGGCUUUCCUGACAGCUACCAGUUUUCGGGCACCAUUCAGAGCAAGCACAGGCAGAUUGGCAACGCUGUGCCACCCCCUCUUGCCUUUGCGCUUGGGAGGAAGCUGAAGGAAGCCGUCGAUGCGAAGCGUCAGCAGGCCUGA
This 4596-nucleotide ribosomal RNA is filed under the name Triticum aestivum (bread wheat). RNAcentral's name for it is "partial small subunit ribosomal RNA". The record is from RNAcentral. Lineage: Eukaryota; Viridiplantae; Streptophyta; Magnoliopsida; Poales; Poaceae.